GGGCUAUUGGAGGCAUUGCCUGCCCAGUGACAACUGUUUAACGGCCGCGGUAUCCUGACCGUGCAAAGGUAGCAUAAUCAUUUGUUCUCUAAAUAAGGACUUGUAUGAAUGGCCGCACGAGGGUUUUACUGUCUCUUACUUCCAAUCAGUGAAAUUGACCUUCCCGUGAAGAGGCGGGAAUGCACAAAUAAGACGAGAAGACCCUAUGGAGCUUUAACUAACCAACCCAAAGAGAAUAGAUUUAACCAUUAAGGAAUAACAACAAUCUCCAUGAGUUGGUAGUUUCGGUUGGGGUGACCUCGGAGAAUAAAAAAUCCUCCGAGCGAUUUUAAAGACUAGACCCACAAGUCAAAUCACUCUAUCGCUCAUUGAUCCAAAAACUUGAUCAACGGAACAAGUUACCCUAGGGAUAACAGCGCAAUCCUAUUCAAGAGUCCAUAUCGACAAUAGGGUUUACGACCUCGAUGUUGGAUCAGGACAUCCUGAUGGUGCAACCGCUAUCAAAGGUUCGUUUGUUCAACGAUUAAAGUCCUACGUGAUCUGAGUUCAGACCGGA
RNAcentral lists this ribosomal RNA (556 nucleotides) under Phascolosoma esculenta. Its description in RNAcentral is "partial 16S ribosomal RNA". It matches the Rfam family "Bacterial large subunit ribosomal RNA", at positions 1840 to 2620 of the family's 2925-position model. Lineage: Eukaryota; Metazoa; Annelida; Sipuncula; Phascolosomatiformes; Phascolosomatidae. The record is from RNAcentral.